RNAcentral lists this ribosomal RNA (253 nucleotides) under uncultured bacterium. Its description in RNAcentral is "partial 16S ribosomal RNA". It matches the Rfam family "Bacterial small subunit ribosomal RNA", at positions 524 to 776 of the family's 1533-position model. The record is from RNAcentral.
UACAGAGGGUGCGAGCGUUAAUCGGAAUUACUGGGCGUAAAGCGUGCGUAGGCGGUUAUUUAAGUCGGAUGUGAAAGCCCCGGGCUCAACCUGGGAAUUGCAUUCGAGACUGAAUAGCUAGGGUACGGUAGAGGGAAGCGGAAUUUCCGGUGUAGCGGUGAAAUGCGUAGAUAUCGGAAGGAACAUCAGUGGCGAAAGCGGCUUCCUGGACCAGUACCGACGUUCAGGCACGAAAGCGUGGGGAGCAAACAGG